AAAAUGGUGUUUUUCAACACCACUACAAUAAUUUUCGGAAAGAUGG
This is a non-coding RNA of Picea glauca (white spruce), 46 nucleotides long. NCBI's taxonomy places the organism in Eukaryota, Viridiplantae, Streptophyta, Pinopsida, Pinales, Pinaceae. The record is from Rfam.